AUUAAUUUGGGCGUAAAGGGUACGUAGGCGGUUUGAUUGAUAUGUGAUUUAAAGAGAACGGGUUCAACCUUUCGAAAACACAUCUGAUUAUAAAACUAGAGUUUAGUGGAGGAUUGUUGAACUGCUAGUUUAAAGUUAAAAUUUUGUUAGAUUAGUCGGGCAACCUGCGGUGUAAACUACUUUCCAUAGUAAAACUGACGUUCAUGUACAAAAGUAUGGGGAUUAAAUAGGAUUAGAGACCCUAGUAGUCCAUACCCUGACCUAUGAGUGUUAAAUGGGAGAUAAAAUUAUUAACAUCUUCGUGUUUCUAGCUAACGCGGAAACAACUCCGCCUGGGGACGUACGGUCGCAAGAUUAAAACUCAAAGGAAUUGACGGAGAUCAGUACGUGCGGUGGAACAUGUGAUUUAAUGCGUCAAUACGCGCAAACCUUACCCUAUCUUGUUCCUUUCCUACCAAACCGAUUUAUAUAUGUUGAUUAUAAACCAAAUUUAU
Molecule: ribosomal RNA, 494 nt
Filed under: uncultured bacterium
Lineage: Bacteria
Description: bacterial SSU rRNA
Rfam family: Bacterial small subunit ribosomal RNA
Source: RNAcentral